ACUGACACUGAUUUACUUCCGCUCCACUAGGCGGCGUCUGCGGCUUUGACGUUCAGCGUGACUGUGACACCUUUAGAGCCUCAUCAACAACAUGACACUGAUGACAGCCGCCUCGACACGACUGAUUAUUCAUGUUUUGAGACCGUUAAAGUACAGUUACUGCAGAUGACAGCUUAUUUACAGACUCAUUCAACAGCAUGGAUGUCAGCCAUAACGUUAAUAACAAACUACACGCUGUGUUGUCAAGCGUCCAGGAUGUCACUCUGAUCACCUCAGAAGCAUGUGGUCAGACAUUGACUGUAAUGAUGGACAUCUGCUGAGUGACAGAAUUAAUGUUGAACAGAUUAUAGUGUGAUUUCUGGAGCAACACGAGAUCCAUUUCCCCAUUCUCUGUUUAUUCUGCCACUGCUGAUGCACAAAUCCUCCACAAGUGGGCACAACAUUGACACAUUGAUCAGGCUUUCUUCAUUAAAUCUUUAUUAAAUGUGAUGUUUGUCUGUAGAUUGAUGUGUUGAUAUGAUGACCAGUCCUGAGCUUCAC
Danio rerio (zebrafish) is the source of this 540-nucleotide non-coding RNA. Lineage: Eukaryota; Metazoa; Chordata; Actinopteri; Cypriniformes; Danionidae. The record is from RefSeq and is a predicted model, not a curated record.